UUGGAGGGCAAGUCUGGUGCCAGCAGCCGCGGUAAUUCCAGCUCCAAUAGCGUAUAUUAAAGUUGUUGCAGUUAAAAAGCUCGUAGUUGAAUUUCGGGAUUGGCGCAUCGGUCGUGCCUCACGGGGUAUGAACUGGUGCAGUCAAUUUCUCACCUUCUGGAGAACCGCGAUGUCCUUAAUUGGAUGCCGCGGGGAACCAGGACCUUUACUUUGAAAAAAAUUAGAGUGUUUAAAGCAGGCAUUUUUGCUUGAAUACAUUAGCAUGGAAUAAUAAAAUAGGACGGCAUGGUUCUAUUUUGUUGGUUUCUAGGACCACCGUAAUGAUUAAUAGGGAUAGUUGGGGGCAUUAGUAUUCAAUUGUCUGAGGUGAAAUUCUUGGAUUUAUUGAAGACUAACUACUGCGAAAGCAUUUGCCAAGGAUGUUUUCAUUAAUCAAGAACGAAAGUUAGGGGAUCGAAGACGAUCAGAUACCGUCGUAGUCUUAACCAUAAACUAUGCCGACUAGGAAUCAGACGAUGUUAAUUUUUUAAUGACUCGUUUGGCACCUUACGGGAAACCAAAGUGUUUGGGUUC
This 573-nucleotide ribosomal RNA is filed under the name uncultured Glomeromycotina. RNAcentral's name for it is "SSU rRNA". It matches the Rfam family "Eukaryotic small subunit ribosomal RNA", at positions 548 to 1114 of the family's 1831-position model. The record is from RNAcentral. Lineage: Eukaryota; Fungi; Glomeromycota.